This 73-nucleotide transfer RNA is filed under the name Methanothrix sp. RNAcentral describes it as "tRNA-Ala". It matches the Rfam family "tRNA". From Rfam's summary of the family: Transfer RNA (tRNA) molecules are approximately 80 nucleotides in length. Their secondary structure includes four short double-helical elements and three loops (D, anti-codon, and T loops). The record is from RNAcentral. Lineage: Archaea; Methanobacteriati; Methanobacteriota; Methanomicrobia; Methanotrichales; Methanotrichaceae. RNAcentral also lists the same sequence under 1 other name.
GGGCACGUAGAUCAGCUGGAAGAUCGCUACCUUCGCAAGGUAGAGGCCGCGGGUCCGAAUCCCGCCGUGUCCA